This 346-nucleotide unclassified non-coding RNA is filed under the name soil metagenome. RNAcentral's name for it is "partial contains 5.8S ribosomal RNA, internal transcribed spacer 2, and large subunit ribosomal RNA". The stretch from base 1 to 119 matches the Rfam family "5.8S ribosomal RNA", at positions 35 to 154 of the family's 154-position model. The record is from RNAcentral.
GAUGAAGAACGCAGCGAAAUGCGAUACGUAAUGUGAAUUGCAAAUUCAGUGAAUCAUCGAGUCUUUGAACGCACAUUGCGCCCCCUGGUAUUCCGGGGGGCAUGCCUGUCCGAGCGUCAUUGCUGCCCUCAAGCACGGCUUGUGUGUUGGGCCCCGUCCUCCGAUCCCGGGGGACGGGCCCGAAAGGCAGCGGCGGCACCGCGUCCGGUCCUCGAGCGUAUGGGGCUUUGUCACCCGCUCUGUAGGCCCGGCCGGCGCUUGCCGAUCAACCCAAAUUUUUUAUCCAGGUUGACCUCGGAUCAGGUAGGGAUACCCGCAGAACUUAAGCAUAUCAAUAAGCGGAGGA